Molecule: non-coding RNA, 1118 nt
Organism: Odocoileus virginianus texanus
Lineage: Eukaryota; Metazoa; Chordata; Mammalia; Artiodactyla; Cervidae
Source: RefSeq, a predicted model, not a curated record
GAAUUCAGAAUUGUUUUCUGUGGAUGAAGCAACCCCGGGUCGAGCUCUGCUGCUCCCUGGCGGUCGGUGGGAGUUAUUGCGCCACUGGCCACCUGCCCCUACUGCCGAAGAGCCUGGUCCUGUCCUAACUUUCGUCGCAGUGGAUGCCCAAGAGUUUGAGAGAUGGUGAAUCUACAUCAUCCUUAAGGGAGGAAUCUCCUGUACAGUGACUCUACAAGUCAUUAUCAGUGACUUUUAGAACUUGUCAAGUAAGGGAGAAUCACUGUUGUACAGGGGACUGUUGUCGUUUUUCCGCUGCUGGAAUUAUUAAAAACAAACACACAACCGUGUCGCUGCCAUCUGGUCCCCUGAAAUCUUACCCGGGGUGGUAAUUAUAUAAUAACAACAACAACAAAGACAACAACUUAAAAGGAUUAACAAAUUGAACAUUUACGAUGUGCCAAGUAUUAUCCUAAGUACGUUACAUGUAUUAACUGAUGUAAUUGCCACAAUAAUCUUAUGAGCAAACAAAAGCAAAACCUAGAGCCAAAGACUGUAAUACCUGGAGGGAGAAAAGCGAAGAAAUGGAAUGGAACUGUUGAGGGACAUUGACUUUGUAACAAAUCAAGUGAGAAGCCCAAGAGACCAAGUAGGUCUUUGAAGAUGUAAAAAUAAAACAAAAUAAUCCCCUAAGGAAAAGUAGAAAGAAGAGGAAUCCCCGGUGGAAAACAAAGAAAAUGGACCUUGUGUGGCUGUUAGGGACCCAAAAUAAAACGGAAUCAGACAGUCAUGACAGAUCUGGGAUUCAGUCAUGUAUUCUGUGUUCUUAGGAAAACCACAAACAACUAUAAGGACUUCUGCUUCUCCUAAGGGUCAUACCUGAAAAAGCCUCCAAUGAGAAGCUCCAGUGAUAGCCAAUCAUUGAAGACUUGUGGUUAGACUGUGAGGACUUAUGGGCAGGCUGCAAGAACCACACAAUCCCUUUUGCAAUUCCCCCAACUGUGACUUCUGCAGCUUUUGCUUCUAAAAAAUUCCUCAUCCCCUUCACCCCCCAGGGAUGUAUUUUCAGUAUGUAUCUCCAGUUUGCAAACCUUGCACAACCUUACAAACAAUAAACCUCGUCUUUUGCUUUAAGACAA